AAGUCGUAACAAGGUUUCCGUAGGUGAACCUGCGGAAGGAUCAUUACUGAGUUAGGGUCUUUGAGGCCCGACCUCCAACCCUUGUGUUUAACUUACCAUGUUGCUUCGGCGGGCCCGUUUCCCUUAGGAAACCGCCGGAGGGUUGUUUCAUGCCCUCUGGUCCGCUGCCCGCCGGUGGCCAACCUUCAAAACAUUUAUUCAAUUGUCAUUGUCUGAGUCUCCAUGAUUUUAAUAAAUCAAAAGCAAAACUUUCAACAACGGAUCUCUUGGUUCUGGCAUCGAUGAAGAACGCAGCGAAAUGCGAUAAGUAAUGCGAAUUGCAGAAUUUCCGUGAGUCAUCGAAUCUUUGAACGCACAUUGCGCCCUUUGGUAUUCCGAAGGGCAUGCCUGUUCGAGCGUCAUUAACACCCCUCAAGCAUCGGCUUGUCGUUGGAUCAGGCCUGGGUAACACCAGGCCGGUCCCAAAAGUAAUGACGGCGUCCGGGGGACCCUCAGUGCAACGAGCUUUUCUUGAAGCACGCAUUGAGUUGCAAGGUCCCGUCUGGCACGGUCUCACCUUCUAUUUUAUAUCAAGGUUGACCUCGGAUCAGGUAGGAAUACCCGCUGAACUUAA
Molecule: ribosomal RNA, 613 nt
Filed under: uncultured fungus
Lineage: Eukaryota; Fungi
Description: eukaryotic LSU rRNA
Rfam family: 5.8S ribosomal RNA (bases 247-401)
Source: RNAcentral